This 879-nucleotide ribosomal RNA is filed under the name Aigialus parvus. RNAcentral's name for it is "partial large subunit ribosomal RNA". It matches the Rfam family "Eukaryotic large subunit ribosomal RNA", at positions 73 to 965 of the family's 3401-position model. Lineage: Eukaryota; Fungi; Ascomycota; Dothideomycetes; Pleosporales; Aigialaceae. The record is from RNAcentral.
AUGCCUCAGUAACGGCGAGUGAAGCGGCAACAGCUCAAUUUGAAAUCUGGCUCCCUUUCGGGGUCCGAGUUGUACUUUGUAGAGGGUGCUUUGGGGUUUGGUAGCGGUCUAAGUUCUUUGGGACAAGACGUCACGGAGGGUGAGAAUCCCGUAUGUGGCCGCGUAACCUCGCCAUGUAAAGCCCCUUCGACGAGUCGAGUUGUUUGGGAAUGCAGCUCUAAAUGGGAGGUAAAUUUCUUCUAAAGCUAAAUACUGGCCAGAGACCGAUAGCGCACAAGUAGAGUGAUCGAAAGAUGAAAAGCACUUUGGAAAGAGAGUCAAAAAGCACGUGAAAUUGUUGAAAGGGAAGCGCUCACAGCCAGACGUGCUCGUGGCUGCUCAUCCGGACACGUGUCCGGUGCACUCUCCCACGAGCAGGCCAGCAUCGGUUUGGGCGGUUGGACAAAGGCGCCGGGAAUGUAGCUCCCUCCGGGGAGCGUUAUAGCCCGGCGCGCAAUGCAGCCAGCCCAGAUCGAGGCCCGCGCGCAUGCUAGGAUGCUGGCGUAAUGGCUGUGAGCGGCCCGUCUUGAAACACGGACCAAGGAGUCUAACAUCCAUGCGAGUGUUUGGGUGUCAAAUCCCAGGCGCGCAAUGAAAGUGAACGGAGGUGGGAACCCUCUUCGAGGGCGCACCAUCGACCGAUCCUGAUGUCUUCGGAUGGAUUUGAGUAAGAGCAUGGCUGUUGGGACCCGAAAGAUGGUGAACUAUGCCUGAAUAGGGCGAAGCCAGAGGAAACUCUGGUGGAGGCUCGCAGCGGUUCUGACGUGCAAAUCGAUCGUCGAAUUUGGGCAUAGGGGGCGAAAGACUAAUCGAACCAUCUAGUAGCUGGUUCCUGCCGAA